GCUCCCCUGAGGCGGGGCUGCGCUGUCCUAAGGGGGACUCCGAGCCUGGGCUAUUUCUGGCGCUGGCGCGGCUCCAGGAAGGCAUCCGCAUUUGCGACCAGCGGUGGCAGCGGUGGAGCCUGGCCGGGCCUCAGCGCCCAGCACCGCCGCUCCCGCCAAACCGGAGCAUGCACCGCAGGCUGGCGGCCGAGUUCGCCCAUCCUAGCCAUCACUCUUCCACCUGCUCCUUAGAGAAGGGAAGAUGAGCAAGUCAAGCUCAAAGUCCAGCCAGUCCUUGGCCUCCAAGCAGAAAAAGGACGGCACUGAGAAGCGGGGCCCUGGCAGGCCCCACCAGCAGCCUCCGGUGAGUCCCGGGACAUCGCUGGUAUGGAGUCAGAAGGAGCCCAGCGAAAUGCCAACACCUAAGAGACCUCGGGCCGACCAAAGGGAAGCAAAAACAAGGACCCAAAAAACUGGAGAAGGAGGAAGAGAAGGGCAUCUCGCAGGAGUCCUCACCGAAGGAGCAGCUUCCUUCUGGGACUGGACAGCUUUGAUCCACUCCCACCCCGCCACACCCUCCACCCCCUCCCGACACCCACCAUCACCACCGCCUCCUGCCACCACCCCCAUCUUCCACCUGGUCCUCACCACCACACUACACAACACACCAGCCGCUGCAGGGUCCCUAUGGGCUGAGUGGGGAGGACUUUUCCCCUGGCCUGUUCCCACCCCUAACCCCCGCCCACCCACUCAUACAUAUGUGCCCUCCUGGACAAGGCUAAUGUCCCACUUAGCCGCACCCU
This is an RNA transcript of Mandrillus leucophaeus (drill), 782 nucleotides long. It is a transcript of the gene named high mobility group protein HMG-I/HMG-Y-like, with no coding region annotated. Lineage: Eukaryota; Metazoa; Chordata; Mammalia; Primates; Cercopithecidae. The transcript is spliced from 2 exons. The record is from RefSeq and is a predicted model, not a curated record.